This 253-nucleotide ribosomal RNA is filed under the name uncultured bacterium. RNAcentral describes it as "partial 16S ribosomal RNA". It matches the Rfam family "Bacterial small subunit ribosomal RNA", at positions 524 to 776 of the family's 1533-position model. The record is from RNAcentral.
UACGUAGGGAGCAAGCGUUGUUCGGAUUUACUGGGCGUAAAGGGCGCGUAGGCGGCAAUUCAAGUCACUUGUGAAAUCUCCGGGCUUAACUCGGAACGGUCAAGUGAUACUGCUUUGCUAGAGUGCGGAAGGGGCAAUCGGAAUUCUCGGUGUAGAGGUGAAAUUCGUAGAUAUCGAGAGGAACAUCGGUGGCGAAGGCGGCCUUCUGGACGGUGACUGACGCUGAGACGCGAAAGCGUGGGGAGCAAACAGG